This 279-nucleotide ribosomal RNA is filed under the name uncultured bacterium. RNAcentral's name for it is "partial 16S ribosomal RNA". It matches the Rfam family "Bacterial small subunit ribosomal RNA", at positions 506 to 784 of the family's 1533-position model. The record is from RNAcentral.
UGCCAGCCGCCGCGGUAAGACGAACCGUCCAAACGUUAUUCGGAAUCACUGGGCUUAAAGGGUGCGUAGGCGGCUUGGAAAGUUGGGUGUGAAAUCCCUCGGCUCAACCGAGGAACUGCGCUCAAAACUGCCAAGCUAGAGGGAGAUAGAGGUGAGCGGAACUAAUGGUGGAGCGGUGAAAUGCGUUGAUAUCAUUAGGAACACCGGUGGCGAAAGCGGCUCACUGGAUCUCUUCUGACGCUGAGGUGCGAAAGCCAGGGUAGCGAACGGGAUUAGAUA